RNAcentral lists this ribosomal RNA (508 nucleotides) under uncultured bacterium. Its description in RNAcentral is "partial 16S ribosomal RNA". It matches the Rfam family "Bacterial small subunit ribosomal RNA", at positions 28 to 507 of the family's 1533-position model. The record is from RNAcentral.
GACGAACGCUGGCGGCGUGCCUAAUACAUGCAAGUCGAACGCUUCUUUCCUCCCGAGUGCUUGCACUCAAUUGGAAAGAGGAGUGGCGGACGGGGGAGUAACACGUGGGUAACCUACCCAUCAGAGGGGGAUAACACUUGGAAACAGGUGCUAAUACCGCAUAACAGUUUAUGCCGCAUGGCAUAAGAGUGAAAGGCGCUUUCGGGUGUCGCUGAUGGAUGGACCCGCGGUGCAUUAGCUAGUUGGUGAGGUAACGGCUCACCAAGGCCACGAUGCAUAGCCGACCUGAGAGGGUGAUCGGCCACACUGGGACUGAGACACGGCCCAGACUCCUACGGGAGGCAGCAGUAGGGAAUCUUCGGCAAUGGACGAAAGUCUGACCGAGCAACGCCGCGUGAGUGAAGAAGGUUUUCGGAUCGUAAAACUCUGUUGUUAGAGAAGAACAAGGACGUCAGUAACUGAACGUCCCCUGACGGUAUCUAACCAGAAAGCCACGGCUAACUACGUG